GGCAGUACCAGGUCAUAUAUCUUAACCUUUAGGCAGUACCAGGUCAUAUAUCUUAACCUUUAGGCAGUACCAGGUCAUAUAUCUUAACCUUUAGGCAGUAC
Molecule: non-coding RNA, 101 nt
Organism: Salvelinus sp. IW2-2015
Lineage: Eukaryota; Metazoa; Chordata; Actinopteri; Salmoniformes; Salmonidae
Source: RefSeq, a predicted model, not a curated record